Caenorhabditis elegans is the source of this 21-nucleotide non-coding RNA. The record is from Ensembl. Lineage: Eukaryota; Metazoa; Nematoda; Chromadorea; Rhabditida; Rhabditidae.
UACCAGAAAUCUACAAACUUU